Molecule: long non-coding RNA, 318 nt
Filed under: Manihot esculenta (cassava)
Lineage: Eukaryota; Viridiplantae; Streptophyta; Magnoliopsida; Malpighiales; Euphorbiaceae
Description: long non-coding RNA (MESC_LNC011429)
Source: RNAcentral
UCGAUGCUACAAUGCCCCAAGGACGUUCCUUGGCAACUUGUUGAUUAGUGUUUGAUUAGCGAACGUUUCCUAAUUAAACUAGAACUAAGGAGGAAUUUGGUUGUGAGAAGCGUCUUCCAUAACCUAAACUAAUUUAUUGAAAUCAAAUAGGAGUCUUUAAUAAUCAAUGAUCAAUUCUGAACAAACUGAUUUAGACUCACACUUCAGCUAGAAUCUCUUUCUCAUCGAAAUUCAUUUUCAAUUAAAUUAUUGUUCUCUUUUGCUUUUAGGUUUUAAACUCAUCAAAACAAACCCCCCUCUUUUAUUUACUUGUUAUUU